GCUGGCGGCAUGCCUACACAUGCAAGUCUCACGGUAGCAGGUCCUUCGGGAUGCUGACUAGUGGCGGACGGGUGCGUAACGCGUGGGAAUCUGCCCAAUAGUGGGGGAUAACCCGGGGAAACCCGGGCUAAUACCGCAUACUCCCUACGGGGGAAAGCGGGGGACCGAAAGGCCUCGCGCUAUUGGAUGAGCCCGCGUCCGAUUAGCUUGUUGGUGGGGUAAAGGCCUACCAAGGCGACGAUCGGUAGCUGGUCUGAGAGGACGACCAGCCACACUGGGACUGAGACACGGCCCAGACUCCUACGGGAGGCAGCAGUGGGGAAUAUUGGACAAUGGGGGAAACCCUGAUCCAGCAAUGCCGCGUGUGUGAAGAAGGCCUGCGGGUUGUAAAGCACUUUCGGCAGGAAAGAAAAGCCAUGCGCUAAUACCGCAUGACCUUGACGUUACCUGCAAAAGAAGCACCGGCUAACUCCGUGCCAGCAGCCGCGGUAAUACGGAGGGUGCAAGCGUUUAUCGGAAUUACUGGGCGUAAAGCGCACGUAGGCGGGCGGCUAAGUCGGGAUGUGAAAUCCCUGGGCUUAACCUGGGGAACUGCAUCCGAUAAGGGUCCCUAGAGUAUGGAAGAGGG
This 628-nucleotide ribosomal RNA is filed under the name uncultured bacterium. Its description in RNAcentral is "bacterial SSU rRNA". It matches the Rfam family "Bacterial small subunit ribosomal RNA", at positions 35 to 658 of the family's 1533-position model. The record is from RNAcentral.